UCUGUUUUUAUUUUCAAACUUCUCCCCUCCUGUCUUUGCAGGCAAGACUAUUGCAAGAUGACUUGUCAUGAUGCGCUGCAGCGACGUGAUCUACACCCCAUGACAAGCCCAAACUGCCUCCUGCAAGAGAAGAAGAGGAGAAGGAGGGAAAGGAGGGAGCAACGACGAGGAAAGGAAAGGACAGAAUGACAUCAUUAGUCUUCGUCAAUGGAAUCGAGGUUCUACUUAUGGGCUCUGACUUCAUCCGGAGAUCUGGAGCUGGGCGCUCAAGGCUGCGCAACCUCUCAACGUCACUUUGGGUUUUAGUUGACAUUUAUGAUGCGGGGCCCUUUUAUACCUGCAGCCGGGGCCUGAUGGUCACAUUGGACAAUCGAAAUCUGCACCAGCUGGCUGUGCAAGAGGAGCCCCGUUUGUUUCUGCCUGAUGAAAGCUGGCAUCCCUUUAAUUGCAAAGUGUCAAUGUGGUCGUCGGAAAAAUGCAAAUACCGAAAGGGCUGUCAGGACAAGUGCCACUUAGAAUUAGUUAAG
Long non-coding RNA from Syngnathus typhle (broad-nosed pipefish), 527 nucleotides. RefSeq lists it as uncharacterized. The transcript is spliced from 3 exons. The record is from RefSeq and is a predicted model, not a curated record. NCBI's taxonomy places the organism in Eukaryota, Metazoa, Chordata, Actinopteri, Syngnathiformes, Syngnathidae.